GAUUGACCUCGGAUCAGGUAGGGAUACCCGCUGAACUUAAGCAUAUCAAUAAGCGGAGGAAAAGAAACCAACAGGGAUUGCCUCAGUAACGGCGAGUGAAGCGGCAACAGCUCAAAUUUGAAAUCCGGCCCCCCCGGGGCCCGAGUUGUAAUUUGCAGAGGGUGUUUCGGGCGAGGCACCGGCCUAAGUCCCUUGGAACAGGGCGUCCCAGAGGGUGAGAGUCCCGUACGCGGCCGGCGACCGAGUCCAUGUGAAACCCCUUCGACGAGUCGAGUUGUUUGGGAAUGCAGCUCUAAAUGGGUGGUAUAUUUCAUCUAAAGCUAAAUACCGGCCAGAGACCGAUAGCGCACAAGUAGAGUGAUCGAAAGAUGAAAAGCACUUUGGAAAGAGAGUUAAACAGCACGUGAAAUUGUUGAAAGGGAAGCGCUUGCAACCAGACCUGUCGUCGGGCGAUCAGCCGCCGUUCUCGGCGGUGCACUCGCCCGGUCGCAGGCCAGCAUCGGUUUGGGUGGCCGGACAAAGGCCCCGGGAACGUAGCUCCCUCCGGGGAGUGUUAUAGCCCGGGGCUGCCAUGCGGCCCACCUGGACCGAGGACCGCGCUUCGGCAAGGAUGCUGGCGUAAUGGUUGUCAGCGGCCCGUCUUGAAACACGGACCAAGGAGUCUAACAUCUAUGCGAGUGUUUGGGCGUCAAACCCAUGCGCGGAAUGAAAGUGAACGCAGGUGGGAACCCUGAAGGGCGCACCAUCGACCGAUNNNNAUGUCUUCGGAUGGAUUUGAGUAAGAGCAUAACUGUUGGG
This 798-nucleotide ribosomal RNA is filed under the name Calicium tigillare. RNAcentral describes it as "partial 28S large subunit ribosomal RNA". It matches the Rfam family "Eukaryotic large subunit ribosomal RNA", at positions 1 to 813 of the family's 3401-position model. The record is from RNAcentral. Lineage: Eukaryota; Fungi; Ascomycota; Lecanoromycetes; Caliciales; Caliciaceae.